GCGACCCCAGKAUGGGCGAGGCCACCCG
Molecule: ribosomal RNA, 28 nt
Filed under: Dendrobium herbaceum
Lineage: Eukaryota; Viridiplantae; Streptophyta; Magnoliopsida; Asparagales; Orchidaceae
Description: partial 26S ribosomal RNA
Source: RNAcentral